AGACAAAGGUGUCUUGCUGGAAAGAGAUUCCUGCAUACCUGAAGCCUUCCAAAGGAUGGAUUGUUUCAGGGGAGACUAAAAGCCAAGCUAGAAGUUCUCCUCUGAGAAGGACUAAAGUGUCAUUGGUGCCACCUUGUUUCUCAACCAUCCUGAGUCCAGAGAGACAGCAUAAGUCUACUGCUUGAAACUGGAUGGAAGUAACCAACUGACUAGUUUUGCAGUAGCUGCACGUGAUGUUUGAAGAGAGUAGGAUGUGUUCUGAUAAAAAUGUCAAGCAGGAGGGCCAGGCUUUCUUGAAUCUAGUUCUAGUUGUCAGGGAGCAACAAAGGCUAGCAGCCCAUGAAGAGGAGUGGGAGAGGAGCAGCCAAGGAGUUCCCUGCCACACACACACACCUGAAGGGGCUGAGUCAGGACUAUGCGACAACCUCAGGCAUGGCAAAAGAAUGAGACCUUGCCUCAUCUGAGCGGUCCCAACAAAGUCUGCAUGAGAUAAUGCUGUGAUGUUAAUGCUGAGAACCAGCAUCUCUGCAGCACAGAUCAGAGAAGGACUGAAUUUCCAGGCCUGAAGCCCCUGAGCCUAUUGACUGUGGAGGAAUUGGGGAGGGAGAAUUUCACAAGUGAGGCUGCUCAGGGCUGUUAAUGUUUCUGAGUGCCCUCCAGGUCCUAACAUCAGUACUGGCCUUACAAUCACCUUAGAACUUGGCGAAGUCAGUGGUGUUUUCAAAAGUAUCCACUGACUCUGAGGAAUCAAAUUUAAGGACUCUUUGCAGUCUUGCAACAAUGCUCAAACAUCUGCAUUAUUCAUCUGGCCCUCAUCACUAUACUGAACUGUAGGGAAACUGUCAAAAUGCAUUACUUUCUACAUCUUUAUAUUUUAUAGGUCAAAUCAUUGUCCCUACUUUACAGGUAGAAUUACAGGUAGGAUUUCAAGGCUGAGGUAGACUACUGGCAUGUCUGCACUGUGCAGUGAAGUGUGAAACAUACCUCCUUGGGGUAAUAGUGUUCAUAGUUGCUUCAGAACCAGAAACAGAACAAUCUCAGCACAGCCUUUGAGCAAAUGAACUGUAAUGAUAUAAGAAUGAACUUACAAGGUCUGGCACAGUGGUGUCAGAUGUGGCCAGAUUGCUUUCAGAUCUCAUGAUUUUCUGUUCCUUCUUAAGUAAUGCCUUGCAAAUGUAUCAGCUUGGAAUCUCCAUGCUGUACUUGACUGUACACUGCAGCCAUGCCUGAAGUGGUUCACUUGUAGACAAUAAGGAAGUUGAUGGCAGAGUGCGAAAUACUUUUGGAGGGUUCUUCCUACAGCCUUGACUAAUGCUGAAUAGAUCGCCUCUGGUAGUCACUGAGUAACCAAGGGAACAUUUGCAAAAAAAAAAAACAACAAACAAACAAAAAAAACCCCACGUUCUUGAGGUUGACAAGAGGUGAAGCACAUUUUAAGAAUAUUUUAAGUUGUGUAGAUCUCCCUGUUUGGUCUGAAACACAAAAA
Long non-coding RNA from Tympanuchus pallidicinctus (lesser prairie-chicken), 1486 nucleotides. RefSeq lists it as uncharacterized. The transcript is spliced from 3 exons. Lineage: Eukaryota; Metazoa; Chordata; Aves; Galliformes; Phasianidae. The record is from RefSeq and is a predicted model, not a curated record.